Molecule: ribosomal RNA, 498 nt
Filed under: uncultured bacterium
Lineage: Bacteria
Description: partial 16S ribosomal RNA
Rfam family: Bacterial small subunit ribosomal RNA
Source: RNAcentral
GACGAACGCUGGCGGCGUGCCUAAUACAUGCAAGUCGAACGAGAGCAACUGGUGCUUGCACUGGUCAAUCUAGUGGCGAACGGGUGAGUAACACGUGGGUAACCUGCCCAUCAGAGGGGGAUAACAUCCGGAAACGGAUGCUAAAACCGCAUAGGUCUUCGAACCGCAUGGUUUGAAGAGGAAAAGAGGCGCAAGCUUCUGCUGAUGGAUGGACCCGCGGUGCAUUAGCUAGUUGGUGAGGUAACGGCUCACCAAGGCCGUGAUGCAUAGCCGACCUGAGAGGGUGAUCGGCCACAUUGGGACUGAGACACGGCCCAAACUCCUACGGGAGGCAGCAGUAGGGAAUCUUCCGCAAUGGACGCAAGUCUGACGGAGCAACGCCGCGUGAGUGAAGAAGGUUUUCGGAUCGUAAAACUCUGUUGUUAGAGAAGAACAAGUGCUAGAGUAACUGUUAGCGCCUUGACGGUAUCUAACCAGAAAGCCACGGCUAACUACGUG